Molecule: transfer RNA, 68 nt
Filed under: Ictidomys tridecemlineatus (thirteen-lined ground squirrel)
Lineage: Eukaryota; Metazoa; Chordata; Mammalia; Rodentia; Sciuridae
Description: Spermophilus tridecemlineatus (thirteen-lined ground squirrel) tRNA
Rfam family: tRNA
About the family: Transfer RNA (tRNA) molecules are approximately 80 nucleotides in length. Their secondary structure includes four short double-helical elements and three loops (D, anti-codon, and T loops). Further hydrogen bonds mediate the characteristic L-shaped molecular structure. tRNAs have two regions of fundamental functional importance: the anti-codon, which is responsible for specific mRNA codon recognition, and the 3' end, to which the tRNAs corresponding amino acid is attached (by aminoacyl-tRNA synthetases). tRNAs cope with the degeneracy of the genetic code in two manners: having more than one tRNA (with a specific anti-codon) for a particular amino acid; and 'wobble' base-pairing, i.e. permitting non-standard base-pairing at the 3rd anti-codon position.
Source: Rfam by way of RNAcentral
GGUGUUGUGGCUCAGCGGUAGAGCGCUCACCUAGCACCGGUGGGACCCAGGUUUGAUCCUCAACACCA